GUGGGGAAUUUUGGACAAUGGGCGAAAGCCUGAUCCAGCCAUGCCGCGUGUGUGAAGAAGGUCUUCGGAUUGUAAAGCACUUUAAGUUGGGAGGAAGGGCAGUAAGUUAAUACCUUGCUGUUUUGACGUUACCGACAGAAUAAGCACCGGCUAACUUCGUGCCAGCAGUCGCGGUAAUACGAAGGGUGCAAGCGUUAAUCGGAAUUACUGGGCGUAAAGCGCGCGUAGGUGGUUCAGCAAGUUGAAGGUGAAAUCCCCGGGCUCAACCUGGGAACUGCCUCCAAAACUACUGAGCUAGAGUACGGUAGAGGGUAGUGGAAUUUCCUGUGUAGCGGUGAAAUGCGUAGAUAUAGGAAGGAACACCAGUGGCGAAGGCGACUACCUGGACUGAUACUGACACUGAGGUGCGAAAGCGUGGGGAGCAAACAGGAUUAGAUACCCGGGUAGUCC
RNAcentral lists this ribosomal RNA (450 nucleotides) under uncultured bacterium. RNAcentral's name for it is "partial 16S ribosomal RNA". It matches the Rfam family "Bacterial small subunit ribosomal RNA", at positions 354 to 796 of the family's 1533-position model. The record is from RNAcentral.